GUGACAGCCGCCGCGGUAAUACGUAGGGGGCAAGCGUUGUCCGGAUUUACUGGGCGUAAAGCGCGUGUAGGCGGAAGCGCAAGUCCGGUGUGAAAGCCCCCGGCUCAACCGGGGAAGGUCGCUGGAAACUGCGCUUCUUGAGGACGACAGAGGGAAGUGGAAUUGCUGGUGUAACGGUGAAAUGCGUAGAGAUCAGCAGGAACACCCGUGGCGAAGGCGGCUUCCUGGGUCGUGCCUGACGCUGAGACGCGAAAGCGUGGGGAGCGAACGGGAUUAGAUACCCCCGUAGUCC
Molecule: ribosomal RNA, 292 nt
Filed under: uncultured bacterium
Lineage: Bacteria
Description: partial 16S ribosomal RNA
Rfam family: Bacterial small subunit ribosomal RNA
Source: RNAcentral